GACGAACGCUGGCGGCGUGCCUAAUACAUGCAAGUUGAGCGCUGAAGGUUGGUACUUGUACCAACUGGAUGAGCAGCGAACGGGUGAGUAACGCGUGGGGAAUCUGCCUUUGAGCGGGGGACAACAUUUGGAAACGAAUGCUAAUACCGCAUAAAAACUUUAAACACAAGUUUUAAGUUUGAAAGAUGCAAUUGCAUCACUCAAAGAUGAUCCCGCGUUGUAUUAGCUAGUUGGUGAGGUAAAGGCUCACCAAGGCGAUGAUACGUAGCCGACCUGAGAGGGUGAUCGGCCACAUUGGGACUGAGACACGGCCCAAACUCCUACGGGAGGCAGCAGUAGGGAAUCUUCGGCAAUGGACGAAAGUCUGACCGAGCAACGCCGCGUGAGUGAAGAAGGUUUUCGGAUCGUAAAACUCUGUUGGUAGAGAAGAACGUUGGUGAGAGUGGAAAGCUCAUAAAGUGACGGUAACUACCCAGAAAGGGACGGCUAACUACGUG
RNAcentral lists this ribosomal RNA (497 nucleotides) under uncultured bacterium. RNAcentral describes it as "partial 16S ribosomal RNA". It matches the Rfam family "Bacterial small subunit ribosomal RNA", at positions 28 to 507 of the family's 1533-position model. The record is from RNAcentral.